This 443-nucleotide ribosomal RNA is filed under the name uncultured bacterium. RNAcentral describes it as "partial 16S ribosomal RNA". It matches the Rfam family "Bacterial small subunit ribosomal RNA", at positions 338 to 795 of the family's 1533-position model. The record is from RNAcentral.
CCUACGGGGGGCAGCAGUGGGGAAUAUUGGACAAUGGGGGGAACCCUGAUCCAGCGACGCCGCGUGAGUGAAGAAGUAUUUCGGUAUGUAAAGCUCUAUCAGCAGGGAAGAAAGAAAUGACGGUACCUGACUAAGAAGCCCCGGCUAACUACGUGCCAGCAGCCGCGGUACUACGUAGGGGGCAAGCGUUAUCCGGAUUUACUGGGUGUAAAGGGAGCGUAGACGGCGAUGCAAGUCUGAAGUGAAAGGCGGGGGCCCAACCCCCGGACUGCUUUGGAAACUGUAUGGCUGGAGUGCAGGAGAGGUAAGUGGAAUUCCUAGGGUAGCGGUGAAAUGCGUAGAUAUUAGGAGGAACACCAGUGGCGAAGGCGGCUUACUGGACUGUAACUGACGUUGAGGCUCGAAAGCGUGGGGAGCAAACAGGAUUAGAUACCCUUGUAGUC